Molecule: unclassified non-coding RNA, 279 nt
Filed under: Hevea brasiliensis (rubber tree)
Lineage: Eukaryota; Viridiplantae; Streptophyta; Magnoliopsida; Malpighiales; Euphorbiaceae
Source: RNAcentral
GUACAUAUUAAGCUAUUUUCCUAUUUAUUAUUGGGUGGGGAGAGUAAGAGGAUGUACUCACGAGGUAGAUAAUAAGCUACAUAAUUUCACAGGCCCAAAUGUUGACCUUAUCCUGAUAAAUCAAUUAUGGUAGAUGAACCAUAUUUUCAGAGCAACUAUGCAUAAAUUUCCAAAGGUGACAAGGAAAAUGUAACUUUACAUCAACUAGUACGCCCGUAGAAGAAAAGCAAACAAAAAGUGAAUUAAUUACACCACAUCCUAACACUGCAGAUGGAUCAG